Molecule: long non-coding RNA, 566 nt
Organism: Clupea harengus (Atlantic herring)
Lineage: Eukaryota; Metazoa; Chordata; Actinopteri; Clupeiformes; Clupeidae
Source: Ensembl
CAGACUAUACUGAAGGAAUGACCGUUUUCUACAGCGUCCACCUCUCUGCUCCAGGACUUUUGAGGAGCAGGCACGUGCGUCAUCCACCCUCCUCCUCCUCCGGAGAAAAAAAUGACACUAUGAGUGGCAAGUGAAGGGAUGAUGAUGAUGAUGAUGAUAAGGCACAGGACAGACACAGGAAGCAGUUUCAGUCCUUUCUUCCUCUGAAGGAUGUUCAGUGAAUGUAGCAUGUAAGGUGCAGGAGUACGCUAUGCAAACGCCCCUCCCAGACAACCAGCAAACAGCCACUCCAUAGACUUCAAGGUCAUUCUGUUCUCAUUUUUAAACUCAAAACAUCUUCCUUCAGACUGGUUGUUCCCAGAAUAUAUCUAAUUGUCUUUUAAGUCUGUAUAUCUGGCCAAACAGACCGUAACAGAAAGGAUGUUGGUUGGAGAGAAAGAGUGAAGAAGAAAAAGCAUUUCCAGUGGUUUUCCAGUUGGGGAUUCAUUUGUAAGUGCUUUUUGGGGGGUUGAGGGAACUUGUAUUUUUGCAAUAAAGUUAUUACCAAUGCACUCCAGCAUAUGUAC